AGACUGAAUAAGUCACAAGAGGCCCAAACAGAACCCAAGCCCAUUGGCCUCAGGUACUCCUUUUGCCUCUCUUUGCUUCUCCAAGAGGUUAACCUUUCCUCAUGCCUCCCCACUCAAGGUUAGCAACCCUACAUCUUGUUCGGUGGGUGGCCUUCUCUCCUCUCCUCCGAUCUGUCCAUCCUGGGCUGGGAGGGCAGCUGGUUUUGUCUCCAGGCAUCAUAAAGCCUGGGACAACAGGAAGACACAAGACUUUGCUGAGACCAGCUUCAGUCAUCCAAUGGAGGGAUCUCUACAGGGUACUGCUAACUCUAACUAGGUUGAUGGAAUCCCUAUUUGGUGGGCAGGAGAGCCACCCUCAUCCCAGCCCUGCACCUCUGGUUAAUCCUCUAGAUCUAACCCAAGCUCCUUGCUCACUCCUUCUAUAGCCAAAUGCCAGGCUGACAGUCGCUUCUCUCCUAGGAUCCCUGACAAAGACACACCUGCUCCACGAGAAAGGAGAUCUAAGGUGCUUUAUGUUCAGCCUUCACCACAAAGGUACCAGAGCCCAGUCACAGAGAGAGAGAGAGAGAGGCAGAGACACAGGCAGAGGGAGAAGCAGGCUCCAUGCACCGGGAGCCCGACGUGGGAUUCGAUCCCGGGUCUCCAGGAUCGCGCCCUGGGCCAAAGACAGGCGCCAAACCACUGUGCCACCCAGGGAUCCCUAGAAGGGAGAACUUUAAAAAAAUGGGAUCAGUUGCCAUUUGAGCGUUGUUACCCGGGACUCAAACGGUAUGGAGAUCGGACUACGUUCAGAGCGAUUCUUCAGUGGGGAAGUUAAGAGUACGAUUUACUGAAGCAAGCUGCACAACUGCUGGUGCCUGACGUUGUACCAUUUCAGUUGGUUUCAUUUUCCUACCUAGCUGGCUCUUGAAAUAACCCUCUGGGCUUCAAAUCAACGAAACAAGUGAGCAAGAAGUAACCUCAAGAAAAACUUUGGGAGAAUGUGCCUUGAGAAAAGCCAGAGGAAGUCCCACUGAAUCAAGUUAAUUAAGAAUCAAAACCAAGGAAUGCAGUGAAGACAGGUUUUUCAAUUGCCCAGAGAAGACACAGUUCCUUUUCAACUAAAAUUAGAAAGCCACUGGGAACAUAAGCCAAGAAGCACGGGUUUGCGCCUGGCUUUUGGGAUUCAGCAGUCCCCCCCCCCCCCCACAGAGCAUCAGCAAACAGUUUGGGAAUUCUUGUCAACAAGUUCUUAAAUGGCUCACAAUUCUGGGAAGAACUUGCAUGUACCUAGCUGGUGCUCAAGGACCCAAGUGAAAACAUUAAACGGAGGUUUUUGCCCACUUUGCAGUCUAAGGCGAGAAGUCACCUGCCCUACGAGGUGCCCUCGUGUCCUGACACCAUCUCUCCACUGGGAUAUAUCGGGAACCAGGUUGGGUUCUAUGCCCAGCAGUGCCCAUGUGGUUGGCGCCGCCUGCACUUCAAGCAUUCCCUUGCCCCUCUCUGCACUCGGGAGGGCCCUGAAUCGCCGGGGGGCACCUAGAUCAGUGCAGGAGGGUCCCCCGAACACAGGGCAAGCGCGAGGGGCGUCGGCCGCCUCCUCGGAGCAGACCCAGGCUACGUCCACGGGCCGGACAGCACUGGGGCGGGUCGGCAACCGGGCAGAGGGGGUGCCAGGCCCGCCCGGGUGCCCGCACCUCUCGCCAGCCCCCGGAAGCGCCACCCUCCCGCCCAGCGGGCUCCGAGGGGGCGGGGAGUCGAACGCCCCCUUCCGGGUGCCUCCGCCCGGCUGGCCAGCCCCGCUCCUCCUCCGGGCGGGAAUCCUCCCUCCCCCGCCCCUCCCGGAGCCGGGCCCCGGCGCCAGG
This is a long non-coding RNA of Nyctereutes procyonoides (raccoon dog), 1844 nucleotides long. RefSeq lists it as uncharacterized. The record is from RefSeq and is a predicted model, not a curated record. The transcript has 5 exons. NCBI's taxonomy places the organism in Eukaryota, Metazoa, Chordata, Mammalia, Carnivora, Canidae.